This 473-nucleotide ribosomal RNA is filed under the name uncultured bacterium. Its description in RNAcentral is "bacterial SSU rRNA". It matches the Rfam family "Bacterial small subunit ribosomal RNA", at positions 335 to 801 of the family's 1533-position model. The record is from RNAcentral.
ACUCCUACGGGAGGCAGCAGUAGGGAAUCUUCCACAAUGGACGCAAGCCUGAUGGGGCAACACCGCGUGAGUGAAGAAGGGUUUCGGCUCGUAAAGCUCUGUUGUUAAAGAAGAACACGUAUGAGAGUAACUGUUCAUACGUUGACGGUAUUUAACCAGAAAGUCACGGCUAACUACGUGCCAGCAGCCGCGGUAAUACGUAGGUGGCAAGCGUUAUCCGGAUUUAUUGGGCGUAAAGAGAGUGCAGGCGGUUUUCUAAGUCUGAUGUGAAAGCCUUCGGCUUAACCGGAGAAGUGCAUCGGAAACUGGAUAACUUGAGUGCAGAAGAGGGUAGUGGAACUCCAUGUGUAGCGGUGGAAUGCGUAGAUAUAUGGAAGAACACCAGUGGCGAAGGCGGCUACCUGGUCUGCAACUGACGCUGAGACUCGAAAGCAUGGGUAGCGAACAGGAUUAGAUACCCUGGUAGGAUAGCG